This is a long non-coding RNA of Sardina pilchardus (European sardine), 2326 nucleotides long. RefSeq lists it as uncharacterized. The transcript has 6 exons. NCBI's taxonomy places the organism in Eukaryota, Metazoa, Chordata, Actinopteri, Clupeiformes, Clupeidae. The record is from RefSeq and is a predicted model, not a curated record.
GUGUGGGCCCACAAACUGCACGCUAACCUGCACAGGAGGGAGAAACAUCCUGUACACCUGUAAAGGCAUGGAUCCUGUCGAGUACACGGAUUACACCUGGACAGACAGCAAGGGGACAAGGCACUCAGGGUCUGUGCUGAUGGUGGAGAUGAGUGGAAGACUGGAUAGGUUCUACACCUGCAACUUCAACAACCCGGCCAGCUGGAAUACUAGUAGCCUCCGUGAAACAGAGCUGUUUCCUUUAGCAGUUCCUUCAAUUGAUCCUACAGUUACCACAAGAAACCCCUCAUCAGAUGAUGCCGCUGCUCUCAUUGCUGGUGUUGUUUCUGGGACGAUCAUUAUUAUUUCAGCAAUAGUUGGUGCUGGAAUCUACUACUGCCUGAAAAAAGAAAGGGAAUGUGACUCUGGGACGAGAACAGAUGGCAACCAAACAAGGCCAAACCAAACAAGAUCACACUGAUUGCAGAGCUGAGACACAACAGCUACUCCAGCUGCCGCCAGCAACCACUACAAAUGGGCACGUUGCAGUUCAAGGUCAGAUGAAUGGAAGCCCAGGAGAACAAAAUGGAACAGUGAAGCACUCUUAAGCACAUCCACUGGCCGUUGGCAAUCACAUGGACGGAAAUGGUUUUUCUGCCAAUGCAGUGGAGCAACAGUGAUAAACAAAAGAGAUGGAAAUAUUUAUGUAAAAUGUUUCAACUCAGUUACCCUGAAAUUAAUCAAAUUCAUCAAAGACAUUCAGUUCAUCUGUCCUUUCCUUUUCAUCUAGUGUCACCACCAAAGUGUAUGCAUGUUGUUCUCCACAUGUCUGUUCGUUUCUACAGUGUACCAAGCAUGUUAAUUUCUGCCUCUAGUUCACAAGUUUCAAAUAGUAGAAGUAUCUUGGCGUCUAACCAGGACUUUCUGAUAGUGUGGAUGUGUAUCCUUACCCAUUAGCAUUUUUCUGAGGAGAAUGGAACUACAGUAUUUUUGGAAUGUGUGUGCAAUCUGACUUGUGUGAACAGGUCUACAUGAGGCAUAAACACAAGAGCUAUGGGCAGGGGAGCUGAAUUGGCUGGAGGCCAACAGCCAUUGUUUGGGACUGACAAGCCCCAGAGGGCAAAGUUUCAGCCAGACUGGUGUAGUUCAUAUCUUUGCAAAAGAAGCUAGUACCACUGUACCACUGAGUGUGAACUCUGCAUGCUUAUGCUUUUACCUCCAGGGACAUGUAUUGAAGUUAUUGUGCAUGACAGCCAUUGACUGGUUUGCUUAUGGGUCUAACUUGCCCAUGCCAUUGACUCCAGCAAAAAACCACUCACAUCAAAUAUCCUUCCAGUUAUAAGGGCCCACAGUUCCAAUAUCAAAGCAAUAGGUUUCAAUAGGUUGUUUUGCAGAAACACACUACAGUAUUCCCAUCUUCCCCUCCCGUUCUAUGUUUUCCAUUCUAUGUUUUCCUUGUUCCAUGAGGGCCCGCUGUAAAUGUGCUAGAGGUCAAGGUGAGGGCAAGGGACAACUGCACACUCUGUUCUCUGGUCUGACAAUCUUUUGGAGUCUUCAUGUACAGUAUGUUCUCUGGUUUGACGAUCUCUAUGGUUAUGUAAACUUAAGUUUUGACCGUCUUUUGGAGUCUUUAUGUCCUCUGAACAGUUUUUUUUAAGCAUGAGGAAAGAUAAAGAUAGAGGGGCUAAGAUUAUGAAGGCACCAGUGUCACAAGCUUAACCAUAAGGUUGAAUGCUGACCAAAGGAAUCACUUAUAGAGUACUGAGGAACGUUUACUGUAAGCUGUGCAUCCGUGUUUACUGUCAACUUGAAGUGAUACCAAGUAAAAGCUGCUUUGCUAAUGAAAACAAGUGUUUAGUGUGACGAUGCGAUUCAAACUGUACUAUUUAUUUAAUUGAAUUGUGUUUAUAUCUGGUAUUUUCUUCAUCAUUUGUUCCUGUUUCUAUUUUAGUUUAACAUGACCUAGGCACAUUGGUUGAAUGUUUUUUUUUUUUGUAAUUUGUAUGGCUGUACAUUUGUUUCCUUACAUGCGAUUUAUUGUCUGUUUUUUGUACAUGAUACACAGUGGGACAAGCUCCAUUUUGCCGCCUAUGCAGAGGGUUCCUUGGUUAUUCUAUCAGUUUGAUGAUCAACGCUUGAUGGCUUCAGCCAAAAACAUACUCAGUGGGCUGCUGCAAUGUGUGCGAAUGUGUUACUUCACUCACUGCAUGUUGCUUUGUUUGUGUUCUGUUUCUUCUUUCUUCCUUUUUAUUUCAGCUGUAUGUUGCUAUCGUUACAUGUUUUUGUACACUGUUUUGCACAAAGAUUGUUUGGAAAUUGUGGUUAAAAUAAAUCCCCAUCGUUUUAC